UACGGAGGGUGCAAGCGUUACUCGGAAUUACUGGGCGUAAAGCGCGCGUAGGCGGUUCGAUAAGUGGGAUGUGAAAGCCCCGGGCUCAACCUGGGAACUGCAUUGCAAACUGUCGGGCUAGAGUAUGGUAGAGGGAGGUAGAAUUUCCUGUGUAGCGGUGAAAUGCGUAGAUAUAGGAAGGAAUACCAGUGGCGAAGGCGGCCUCCUGGACCAAUACUGACGCUGAGGUGCGAAAGCGUGGGGAGCAAACAGG
RNAcentral lists this unclassified non-coding RNA (253 nucleotides) under uncultured Gammaproteobacteria bacterium. RNAcentral's name for it is "contains 16S-23S intergenic spacer region". It matches the Rfam family "Bacterial small subunit ribosomal RNA", at positions 524 to 776 of the family's 1533-position model. The record is from RNAcentral. Lineage: Bacteria; Pseudomonadati; Pseudomonadota; Gammaproteobacteria.